Molecule: long non-coding RNA, 1928 nt
Organism: Homo sapiens (human)
Lineage: Eukaryota; Metazoa; Chordata; Mammalia; Primates; Hominidae
Gene: FAM86DP
Product: family with sequence similarity 86 member D, pseudogene
Source: Ensembl
GGCCCCGCCCACGUCAUGGCGCCCGAGGAGAAUGCGGGGACCGAACUCUUGCUGCAGAGUUUCGAGCGCCGCUUCCUGGCGGCGCGCACGCUGCGCUCCUUCCCCUGGCAGGGGGGCGGCGGGCGAGCGGAGAGGCCCGCGGGGCUCGCGGGAGUCCAGGGGCAGACGGGAUGGGUCUCCGUGCUGAAACCCCCGGCGCUCCUGCCACAGCUUAGAAGCAAAGUUAAGAGACUCAUCAGAUUCUGAGCUGCUGCGGGAUAUUUUGCAGAAGACGUGCUGUAUUGCCCAGAAGCCAUCGUGUCGCUGGUCGGGAUCCUGCGGAGGCUGGCUGCCUGCUGGGAGCACCAGCAGUCUCCUGAGGUCUACGUGGCCUUUACCGUCCACAACCCAGAGACGUGCCAGCUGUUCACCACCGAGCUAGGCCGGGCUGGGAUCAUAUGGGAAGCGGAAGCUCAUCAUGACCAGAAACUGUUUCCCUAUGGAGAGCACUUGGAGAUGGCAAUGCUGAACCUCACACUGUAGGACUCACACACGACUCCAACGGGAUUGUGAGAAUCAAGUCAAUCUCAUGGGAAGAAUUUUUAUAUGGGAAAGCGGAUAAAACUUUCAUUGUACUGGAAUGUUUGGAGAAUGUUAAAUUCCAAAUCAGAAACCACAAACUGCCCUCUAAUAAGACAUCGGCUAUCUAAGCGUGUGGGUGCCCCCUUUCUGCCAGCAGUUCUGGUUCUUACGAAAAUCACCAUAUAUCAGACAUGAAAAUUCUGGCUUUGUGCAGAUAAAAAAGUGUGUAUCAAGUAUGACGUUCCCCCAAUGUGGACACACUUGGUUCCUCAGAAAGCCAAGCCCACUGCAGCUGCCACAUCCCUGGACACACUCGGUUCCUCACAAAGCCAAGCCCGCUGCAGCUGUCACAUCCCUGGACACACUCGGUUCCUCACAAAGCCAAGCCCACUGCAGCUGCCACAUCCCUGAGCCUAUGGUGCAGCAGGUGCUUUUUUCAAGACAGGGAUCAAAGUGUUAGGAACACGGCAGAAAGGUGACACCUGGAGACCAAAUGCAGGAUGAGGAGUACUGCAGAGGUCACAGGGAAGUCAGAGAACAGUAAUACGCUAACAGGGGCACGGGGCAUGAAGAACAAAAGACAGGAAGCGUUUCAGAGACUCCAAAGAAGAAAUCAGGGCCAACCACAGCUUCCCGGGUCAUUCACCAGGUGGCACCACUGCCGUCAUUUCAGCUUCUGGCCACUGGGAGGCGCUGCUCGAAAGGGUUUGCCCUGACACUCCAAGAAGCUGCGGGAAGGACAGCAGGGGCCCUGGGGUUUUAGCCUCUGGCCCAGGAGUUAUGUGUCCAUAACCAAAGGGAGCACAGUCUGCACCCAGCUCUCAUCCCAUCAGAGCUGCUGCGACUCCUGCAGGUUCUUCCGGAACUGGUUUAGCUUGCCUGCAGGAUCAGGAAAGUUUGAGAAAAGCAUCUGCAAAAUACUAAAGAGCAGAGCUUACCUCAUUGCCUGUCCCCACCCCAUCCCAGGUCACCACCUGGCUGACCCCAGGUCCCCGACCCAACAACAACCCCUCCCAAGUCCCUAACUCCCUCACUUGGACUUGAGACCCUUCACACCCCAGCAGCGCUCCGCCUCCCACUUGACAUCAUGCUUUCUGGAAACUUCCCCGUAUGUCCCACUUUCCCACACUUGGUGCCCUGGAGCACCUUCCGGCCUCUACAUGCUGUACGUUCCCCUGUGAGCACCCUCCUCUCGGCCUCUGGCCAACACAGUCCCACCCAUCUGUGGGUAACAAGGGGGAGUGGGUGUUCUUUUCAGCCUUGCUAAACUCUCUGAAUCAAGGAUCACAAACUACAGCCUGCAGGCCAAAUCCAGCCCACAGCCUGUGUUUGUAAAUAAAGCUUUAUUGGAAGAAAGCCACACCCCU